RNAcentral lists this ribosomal RNA (586 nucleotides) under uncultured bacterium. RNAcentral describes it as "partial 16S ribosomal RNA". It matches the Rfam family "Bacterial small subunit ribosomal RNA", at positions 355 to 1375 of the family's 1533-position model. The record is from RNAcentral.
UGGGGAAUUUUGGACAAUGGGGGAAACCCUGAUCCAGCCAUCCCGCGUGUGCGAUGAAGGCCUUCGGGUUGUAAAGCACUUUUGGCAGGAAAGAAACGUCGCGGGUUAAUACCCCGCGAAACUGACGGUACCUGCAGAAUAAGCACCGGCUAACUACGUGCCAGCAGCCGCGGUAAUACGUAGGGUGCAAGCGUUAAUCGGAAUUACUGGGCGUAAAGCGUGCGCAGGCGGUUCGGAAAGAAAGAUGUGAAAUCCCAGAGCUUAACUUUGGAACUGCAUUUUUAACUACCGGGCUAGAGUGUGUCAGAGGGAGGUGGAAUUCCGCGUGUAGCAGUGAAAUGCGUAGAUAUGCGGAGGAACACCGAUGGCGAAGGCAGCCUCCUGGGAUAACACUGACGCUCAUGCACGAAAGCGUGGGGAGCAAACAGGAUUAGAUACCCUGGUAGUCCACGCCCUAAACGAUGUCAACUAGCUGUUGGGGGCCUUCGGGCCUUGGUAGCGCAGCUAACGCGUGAAGUUGACCGCCUGGGGAGUACGGUCGCAAGAUUAAAACUCAAAUGAAUUGACGGGGUCAUAGCUGUUUCCU